Non-coding RNA from Daucus carota subsp. sativus, 154 nucleotides. The record is from Rfam. Lineage: Eukaryota; Viridiplantae; Streptophyta; Magnoliopsida; Apiales; Apiaceae.
AACAGAAGAAACAGUCAGAUUAGCCAAAGGGACGACGCCUAAAAACCACAUUAAACAGGGCUUAUUGUGGCAACACAAUUAAAAUUGAGCCCUGAUAAUAUUGGAUGGGGGAUUUAGGCAAGUCAUCCUUGGCUACCAAACAUGCUACUUCUCA